This 765-nucleotide long non-coding RNA is filed under the name Mustela putorius furo (domestic ferret). RNAcentral describes it as "lncRNA (ENSMPUG00000031681.1)". The record is from RNAcentral. Lineage: Eukaryota; Metazoa; Chordata; Mammalia; Carnivora; Mustelidae.
GCCGGAGGAGACAGCGUCGUCCGCGGGAGCCGCAAGGGCACGGCUGGCCGCAGCGGCUGUGGCACCGUGGGUGGCAGGUCGUCUUGCUCUGCCGGGGGUCUCCAAACGACGAGGACCGAGACCCAGACGCGCUAAAAGGCGCUGGAGAGAGGGAGACGGAGAGGUGGACGUGCAGAGUGAGCUUCAAAGAGGAAGAGAGCACAAGCAGAGGGAGUGGCAUGCGGAGGAAAAGAAGCAGACUCCCCGAGGAGCUGGACUCGAUCCCAGGACCCCAGGAUCAUGACCUGAGCUGAAGGGAAGAAGCUGAAAUCGGUGUGCAUGAAAGGAAAGCCAAGAUACAGAUGGAAACUUUGAUUAUUUUCUUGAGAGUAAUUAAAUUGCUUCAUUGUCAUAUUUCUAGAUCCACCCAAACUUUAAGGACAAAUUUUUCUCUAGUGAUUGUGCAUAGCGCAAGAACGGACCAGAAUAGUAGAAAUUAGACAUUAAAAUAUGAAUACAACCAUCUUAAAUCUGCUUCUGAAAAUAUCAUGCAUCUUCUUGAAAAUACACAAAACUGCAGUCUGUGAAAUUGUUUCCAUGGAAUCAGGUCAUUGCCCAAGAAAUUAUCAAGGCCAAUAAUUAAAAAGGACCAAGGUCUUUACCAUAAUCAUUUUCUGUUAGAGGAAGAAACAAAAUAAACUGGUGGCAGUAUUACCAUAUUACUGGCAGAAGUAGCCUUUGUUACUCCAUGAAGCUCAGUUAGAAGUGUCUUAUUUAGUAAUGCAA